CAUGAAGCGACCGCAUUAAUUGUCUUGCCUCUCGCUGGAAACGACCCCCACUUCCCCGUUCUCCUCUCCGCUCCUCUCCUCUCCUGCCGCACUCCACGGCUGCACGCCUGCACACGUACAAGAGAACCCCAAGCGUCAGGCCCCAAGUCGACUGGGCUCUCCCAUCGGAUCCAAGCCGAAUAUGUCGUCGUCGGUCGGAGGUGGAGGGGGAGGCGGCGCGGCUUUGGCCGGAGGGGACGUCGCUGGCCUUCUGGACAAGGCCAAGGAGCUGGACCAGCUGCGGAAGGAGCAGGACGAUGUGUCCACCGAGAUCAAUAAGAUCCACAAGAAGAUCAUCUCCUCCCCAGAGAUGGUGGAUAAAUCAGUUGAUGCCAUGAUGGCUAGGCUUCGUGGUUUUUAUGUACAAGCAAGAGAACUCUCUGAGAGUGAAGUCAGUGCUUCAUCUGCUUUGGUUGGACUAUUAGAUGGUUUGUUGCAAUCUGGAGUUUCAGCUGCACCAAGAAAAAAGAUAGAAAUCAGUGAACAGAAAAAGAAGAGGAUGAAGUCUGAUACAGAUACAACACGAUUUUCCUCUGCAUCUAUGAGGAGCCAACUUGACCAAGCUGCAAACCUUAAAGGAGAGCAGGUUGCAGCUAGGGUAAAAUCGGAUGAUGAAAAAGACGAGUGGUUUGUGGUGAAGGUCAUACAUUUCGAUAAGGAAACAAAAGAAUUUGAAGUACUGGAUGAGGAGCCUGGUGAUGAUGAAGAGAGUGCCCAAAAGUUUGAGAGGAAAUACAAGUUGCCUAUGUCAUAUAUUAUUCCAUUUCCAAAGAAAGGAGAUCCGUCUAGUGCUCAGGAUUUUGGACAGGGUCGGCAAGUCUUAGCUGUUUAUCCUGGCACAACAGCAUUAUAUAGGGCUACCGUAGCCUCUCAACGUAAGGUGUUCUGUUAUGUACCAUAGAUGGACAAAUAAGGGCUCUUAGCAGUGUUCCCGAUACAAGACAUGGUAGCUGUUACCUCUGUCAAGAUGGGUCCAAAGAAGACUGCAGAACCACCUGUUGAUCUUCUAUCAUCUAUGCAACCUGCCCAGUCAGAGUCAGAAAAUGCACUAACAAGUGUGGAUGAUGACUUGCUAAAGAGGAAGUCUGAUGAUUACAAUCUCUUAUUUGAUGAUGACGAAGAGGAUGGGAAUCUACCAGAGAGAGCUGUUCCAUUUUACAGAGUGGUUGCGCUCCCGGAGGGCCAUCGGCAAUGAAAAGCCUCGAUAUGGACAACUGGCUUGCUCUAGCAAAUGAUAGUGUGUACGAAGAUGGCAGUUUUCGAGCCUGAUGAUGUCGUAAUCUUAUUUUAUCUGCAACCGACUACGCGGUGCAGUUCAUAUGACUCUACUAGUGUACCAUUAUGUAUAUAUCUUGAGUUAGAGUUGGCUUGCAUGCCAUGUACUGUAUUUCAUAGGCUUUGCAAGUGGAAGGUUAUGUAAAUAGAAGUUGAUUGAGCGUUGUUUUAGAACAUAAAGUGGCCCUAUCGGAAUAUAUGUUUGCCUCACUUCACACGUUGUAAAAUACUUUGGUGACAAUCUGAUCAAUUACUCCUGGCUUCAA
Molecule: RNA transcript, 1580 nt
Organism: Triticum aestivum (bread wheat)
Lineage: Eukaryota; Viridiplantae; Streptophyta; Magnoliopsida; Poales; Poaceae
Gene name: SAGA-associated factor 29 homolog A
Exons: 11
Source: RefSeq, a predicted model, not a curated record